UACGUAGGGUGCAAGCGUUGUCCGGAAUUAUUGGGCGUAAAGAGCUCGUAGGCGGCUUGUCACGUCGACUGUGAAAACCCGGGGCUCAACUCCGGGCCUGCAGUCGAUACGGGCUGGCUUGAGUGCGGUAGGGGAGACUGGAAUUCCUGGUGUAGCGGUGAAAUGCGUAGAUAUCCGGAGGAACACCGGUGGCGAAGGCGGCUUCCUGGACCGACACUGACGCUGAGGCGCGAAAGCUAGGGGAGCAAACGGG
RNAcentral lists this ribosomal RNA (253 nucleotides) under uncultured bacterium. RNAcentral describes it as "partial 16S ribosomal RNA". It matches the Rfam family "Bacterial small subunit ribosomal RNA", at positions 524 to 776 of the family's 1533-position model. The record is from RNAcentral.